Molecule: ribosomal RNA, 700 nt
Filed under: uncultured bacterium
Lineage: Bacteria
Description: bacterial SSU rRNA
Rfam family: Bacterial small subunit ribosomal RNA
Source: RNAcentral
AGUGGCGGACGGGUGAGUAACGCGUAAGAAUCUAACUUCAGGACGGGGACAACAGUUGGAAACGACUGCUAAUACCCGAUGUGCCGCAAGGUGAAACCUAAUUGGCCUGGAGAAGAGCUUGCGUCUGAUUAGCUAGUUGGUGGGGUAAAGGCCUACCAAGGCGACGAUCAGUAGCUGGUCUGAGAGGAUGAGCAGCCACACUGGGACUGAGACACGGCCCAGACUCCUACGGGAGGCAGCAGUGGGAAUUUUCCGCAAUGGGCGAAAGCCUGACGGAGCAACGCCGCGUGAGGGAGGAAGGUCUUUGGAUUGUAAACCUCUUUUCUCAAGGAAGAAGUUCUGACGGUACUUGAGGAAUCAGCCUCGGCUAACUCCGUGCCAGCAGCCGCGGUAAUACGGGGGAGGCAAGCGUUAUCCGGAAUUAUUGGGCGUAAAGCGUCCGCAGGUGGUCAGCCAAGUCUGCCGUCAAAUCAGGUUGCUUAACGACCUAAAGGCGGUGGAAACUGGCAGACUAGAGAGCAGUAGGGGUAGCAGGAAUUCCCAGUGUAGCGGUGAAAUGCGUAGAGAUUGGGAAGAACAUCGGUGGCGAAAGCGUGCUACUGGGCUGUAUCUGACACUCAGGGACGAAAGCUAGGGGAGCGAAAGGGAUUAGAUACCCCUGUAGUCCUAGCCGUAAACGAUGGAUACUAGGCGUGGCUUG